UCGAGGAUCUUCGGCAAUGGGCGCAAGCCUGACCGAGCGACGCCGCGUGCGGGAUGAAGGCCUUCGGGUUGUAAACCGCUGUCAGUGGGGAGGAAGGCUCCGUGAAGAGCGGGGUUUGACCUAUCCGCAGAGGAAGCAAGGGCUAAGUUCGUGCCAGCAGCCGCGGUAAGACGAACCUUGCAAACGUUAUUCGGAAUUACUGGGCUUAAAGGGUGCGUAGGCUGUGCAGAAAGUCAGGUGUGAAAUACCUCAGCUUAACUGAGGAAUUGCGCCCGAAACUACUGUGCUAGAGGAAGACAGAGGUAAGCGGAACUUAGGGUGGAGCGGUGAAAUGCGUUGAUAUCCUAAGGAACACCGGUGGCGAAAGCGGCUUACUGGGUCUUAUCUGACGCUGAGGCACGAAAGCUAGGGUAGCGAACGGGAUUAGAUACCCCCGUAGUCC
RNAcentral lists this ribosomal RNA (442 nucleotides) under uncultured bacterium. RNAcentral's name for it is "bacterial SSU rRNA". It matches the Rfam family "Bacterial small subunit ribosomal RNA", at positions 355 to 796 of the family's 1533-position model. The record is from RNAcentral.